GAUAAAGAGUAGCAUUGAUAUAGAGAAUACAUACAUAUAAACACAUGCAAGGAAAUAAAAAAAGAGACAACAACAUAUCAAUUACCAUAAGACCUUAUUGACAUUAGGCAAUUAAAAAGGGAGGAAGCGAUAGCAAACUAGAAACAGAGGAUCAAUAUUCAAGUAGCAAAGGAGAAGGGUAUAUUUUCAGGUAAUCCUCACACCUUUUGUUCAAGUAAUUAUGAAAAUAAAAGCAUUCUUAUUCAUCAUAUAAAAUCCAGAAAUACACAUAUUCGAUAAACUCAUUUCAUAAGCAUUUAGUUAGUCACUGAUACUACCAUGUAUCGGUAUCAACAUCAUUGGGCUCAACCCUCAUUGCUUCAGUAAUGACUUAGAGGCGUCAUCCUUAUGUCGAUAGCCUCAUAUACCAUUGUCGGCACCACAACAUUCCUUGCUACUUCGAUGUGAUGACCCAAAUCUCCUAGGAGUCAGGUCUUUGUUCUUUGAGAGAUGGAACCAAUUCGGUCCACCAUAGAUGACGGGUUCGUAGCCCUAUCAGUCUUCAUCAGAAGCACAUCGACUCAUAGAGGAGGCGAUGGCUGGUUCACCGAAACCCCCCCCCUGAUCGGCUUAGCCUCUACCAUCGAGAGCAUCUUUGUUGUUGCCUUCUUCCACCUCCACGAACCAGAGAAGCUUUGGGUAGAGAACCACCGUGAAUCGACGGUGAAAGGUACUCCAAGAACGGGACGAUGGUCUCGGAAUCCUGCCUUCACCAAGACGUUUUGGCCAACCUGACUUCAGCCAUCGAUGACCCUUGGUCAUCACCAUCGCUACCACCACAGAGAAGAAUCGAAGCCACCUUGCUCGUGGGUCAUGGACCGCCAUCCAUAAAGAAGGAAGCCAGGACCGUGAAUCACCGUGAACGAGUCACCAUCGCCGUUCCCUAGACGGCUUAGCUUGGCCAUCGCUGCCUUCUCCCAUAGACUAGAAAUUAAGUCGCCAUGGUUGGAAUUGUAAGGAAGAAUGUGGACAAAAGUAGGGAUUCCAUUCCCUUUUCUUUUUUGCGAGUUAUGGGGGGGCAGUUUUUAC
This 1068-nucleotide long non-coding RNA is filed under the name Lupinus angustifolius (narrow-leaved blue lupine). RNAcentral's name for it is "long non-coding RNA (LANG_LNC000791)". Lineage: Eukaryota; Viridiplantae; Streptophyta; Magnoliopsida; Fabales; Fabaceae. The record is from RNAcentral.